Molecule: ribosomal RNA, 465 nt
Filed under: Vreelandella stevensii
Lineage: Bacteria; Pseudomonadati; Pseudomonadota; Gammaproteobacteria; Oceanospirillales; Halomonadaceae
Description: partial 16S ribosomal RNA
Rfam family: Bacterial small subunit ribosomal RNA
Source: RNAcentral
CCUACGGGUGGCAGCAGUGGGGAAUAUUGGACAAUGGGGGCAACCCUGAUCCAGCCAUGCCGCGUGUGUGAAGAAGGCCCUCGGGUUGUAAAGCACUUUCAGUGAGGAAGAACGCCUGGUGGUUAAUACCCAUCAGGAAAGACAUCACUCACAGAAGAAGCACCGGCUAACUCCGUGCCAGCAGCCGCGGUAAUACGGAGGGUGCGAGCGUUAAUCGGAAUUACUGGGCGUAAAGCGCGCGUAGGUGACUUGAUAAGCCGGUUGUGAAAGCCCCGGGCUCAACCUGGGAACGGCAUCCGGAACUGUCAAGCUAGAGUGCAGGAGAGGAAGGUAGAAUUCCCGGUGUAGCGGUGAAAUGCGUAGAGAUCGGGAGGAAUACCAGUGGCGAAGGCGGCCUUCUGGACUGACACUGACACUGAGGUGCGAAAGCGUGGGUAGCAAACAGGAUUAGAUACCCGUGUAGUC